GAUGAACGCUGGCGGCGUGCCUAACACAUGCAAGUCGAACGAAGCACCUUACCUUAUUCUUCGGCUGACAGUUUGGUGACUGAGUGGCGGACGGGUGAUUAACGCGUGGGUAACCUGCCCUGUACAGGGGGAUAACAGCUGGAAACGGCUGCUAAUUCCGCAUACGCGCACGAGGAGACAUCUCCUUGUGUGAAAAACUCCGGUGGUACAGGAUGGGCCCGCGUCUGAUUAGCUGGUUGGCAGGGUAACGGCCUACCAAGGAAACGAUCAGUAGCCGGUCUGAGAGGAUGAACGGCCACAUUGGAACUGAGACACGGUCCAAACUCCUACGGGAGGCAGCAGUGGGGAAUAUUGCACAAUGGGGGAAACCCUGAUGCAGCAACGCCGCGUGAGUGAAGAAGGAUUUCGGUAUGUAAAGCUCUAUCAGCAGGGAAGAUAAUGACGGUACCUGACUAAGAAGCUCCGGCUAAAUACGUG
This 477-nucleotide ribosomal RNA is filed under the name uncultured bacterium. RNAcentral describes it as "partial 16S ribosomal RNA". It matches the Rfam family "Bacterial small subunit ribosomal RNA", at positions 28 to 507 of the family's 1533-position model. The record is from RNAcentral.